CCUACGGGUGGCAGCAGUGAGGAAUAUUGGUCAAUGGCCGAGAGGCUGAACCAGCCAAGUCGCGUGAGGGAUGACUGCCCUAUGGAUUGUAAACCUCUUUUGUCUGGGAGUAAAGUCUUCCACGUGUGGGAGUUUGUGAGUACCUGAUGAAUAAGCAUCGGCUAACUCCGUGCCAGCAGCCGCGGUAAUACGGAGGAUGCGAGCGUUAUCCGGAUUUAUUGGGUUUAAAGGGUGCGUAGGGGGGUUAUCAAGUCAGCGGUAAAAUUGUGGGGCUCAACGCUAACCAGCCGUUGAAACUGACAGUCUUGAGUAGGCGAGAGGUAUGCGGAAUGCGUGGUGUAGCGGUGAAAUGCAUAGAUAUCACGCAGAACUCCGAUUGCGAAGGCAGUUUACCGG
This 396-nucleotide ribosomal RNA is filed under the name uncultured bacterium. Its description in RNAcentral is "partial 16S ribosomal RNA". It matches the Rfam family "Bacterial small subunit ribosomal RNA", at positions 338 to 732 of the family's 1533-position model. The record is from RNAcentral.